AACGAACGCUGGCGGCAGGCCUAAUACAUGCAAGUCGAGCGCCCAGCAAUGGGAGCGGCGCACGGGUGCGUAACGCGUGGGAACGUACCCUUGGGUGCGGAACAACGUCGGGAACUGACGCUAAUACCGCAUAAUAUCUCCGGAUCAAAGAUUUAUCGCCCAAGGAUCGGCCCGCGUUAGAUUAGCUAGUUGGUAGGGUAAAGGCCUACCAAGGCUACGAUCUAUAGCUGGUCUGAGAGGAUGAUCAGCCACACUGGGACUGAGACACGGCCCAGACUCCUACGGGAGGCAGCAGUAAGGAAUAUUGGACAAUGGAGGCAACUCUGAUCCAGCCAUGCCGCGUGAGUGAUGAAGGCCCUUCGGGUUGUAAAGGCUCUUUCAGGUGCGACGAUGAUGACGGUAACACCAGAAG
Molecule: ribosomal RNA, 412 nt
Filed under: uncultured bacterium
Lineage: Bacteria
Description: bacterial SSU rRNA
Rfam family: Bacterial small subunit ribosomal RNA
Source: RNAcentral